GGUUCUGUGGUGUAAUGGUUAGCGCUUUAGACUCUGAAUCCAAGGAUCUGAGUUCAAAUCUCGACAGAACUU
This 72-nucleotide transfer RNA is filed under the name Paramuricea clavata. It matches the Rfam family "tRNA". Rfam says of the family: Transfer RNA (tRNA) molecules are approximately 80 nucleotides in length. Their secondary structure includes four short double-helical elements and three loops (D, anti-codon, and T loops). The record is from Rfam by way of RNAcentral. Lineage: Eukaryota; Metazoa; Cnidaria; Anthozoa; Malacalcyonacea; Plexauridae.